This 253-nucleotide ribosomal RNA is filed under the name uncultured bacterium. Its description in RNAcentral is "partial 16S ribosomal RNA". It matches the Rfam family "Bacterial small subunit ribosomal RNA", at positions 524 to 776 of the family's 1533-position model. The record is from RNAcentral.
UACGUAGGGUGCAAGCGUUGUCCGGAAUUAUUGGGCGUAAAGAGCUCGUAGGCGGUCUGUCGCGUCUGCUGUGAAAUCUCAGGGCUUAACCCUGAGCUUGCAGUGGGUACGGGCAGACUAGAGUGCGGUAGGGGAGACUGGAAUUCCUGGUGUAGCGGUGAAAUGCGCAGAUAUCAGGAGGAACACCGGUGGCGAAGGCGGGUCUCUGGGCCGAAACUGACGCUGAGGAGCGAAAGCGUGGGGAGCAAACAGG